This 371-nucleotide ribosomal RNA is filed under the name uncultured organism. RNAcentral's name for it is "partial 16S ribosomal RNA". It matches the Rfam family "Bacterial small subunit ribosomal RNA", at positions 527 to 896 of the family's 1533-position model. The record is from RNAcentral.
GUAGGUGGCAAGCGUUGUCCGGAAUUAUUGGGCGUAAAGCGCGCGCAGGCGGUUCUUUAAGUCUGAUGUGAAAGCCCACGGGCUCAACCGUGGAGGGUCAUUGGAAACUGGAGAACUUGAGUACAGAAGAGGAAAGCGGAAUUCCACGUGUAGCGGUGAAAUGCGUAGAGAUGUGGAGGAACACCAGAGGCGAAGGCGGCUUUCUGGUCUGUAACUGACGCUGAGGCGCGAAAGCGUGGGGAGCAAACAGGAUUAGAUACCCUGGUAGUACGCCGUAAACGAUGAGUGCUAAGUGUUAGGGGGUUUCCGCCCCUUAGUGCUGCAGCUAACGCAUUAAGCACUCCGCCUGGGGAGUACGGCCGCAAAGGCUG